GUAAUUUCUGUUUCAAGAAAUGAGCCAAACCAAUGGAGGAAAAACUGUAAUAAAGAAAAGGGAAAAGUAAGCAGCAAACCAAGUGUGUGCAUCAUUGAAAGAACAUGGCUGAAGAAAUGGUAAAUGGCCUGUAUCUAUAUUUCCAAUUACAAGGCAAACUCCCAACUCUUGAGCCACGAUCGCCCCCAGAAGAAAGAAGAAGAAAACUCUUCGAGCUCAACAUACCAGUACUUUUUAUUCUGUCUUAAAUUAGAAAAACUAAGUAAGGCACACUUUGCUCCCCCUCCCCCCUCUUGUGUUUAGAUGUUGUGCUGUCACGUGACGUGACUUAGACGCUUUGGGGGUUGUUAAGUUGUUUACAUAUUAUUUACAUUUUCACCAGUUGUUUUUGUUGUUGAGAAUUGUGUGAGAUUAUUAUAUUUUCUUAUGCUAUGUUAUACCCCUAAUUAAAGAUUGUGAAAUCAUUAUGUAGUUUUAGUUUGCAUUAUCCUCCUGAAUUAGAAGAAGGUGAUAACUAUUACAUUUGUUAAACUGAUUUGUAUUACAUUAGACUGCUGAUUUAUUGUGAAUGAAUGAUAUUGUUUUAUGAUGCAUUAUACUGCUGAGUUAUAAUAAAUACUGUUAAAAUCUCCCAGUUCUUUUAAUCUUUGGGCUGAAGGAAGGACAAUACUCGGUGUAUAAAUGCUCAAUCAACAAUUAUUUAUUCCAUACAAUUCAACACUUAAGAGCAUAAGAACCAUCAUGAUGGGGAGAGUUGCCUGCAGAGGGUCACAGCAAGUCUCAAAAUGGUGACGGGUUACUCAGCCUUUUAUAGCCCCUAGUAGCCCCCUCCUAGUCAUAAAACCCUAAACAUUCACAUUCUUUCUCUCACACGGCGCCUAAGUUAUGACCUCGGCUCCUUGUUUUUCUGCUCUCUGUAAAGGUGGGGGUAUGGAAUGUGGUCUUCUCUUCUUCUAUUCUAGACACAAGGUCUCCUGCACACAACAUUCUCUUCAUGAUUCAGCAGGAUGAAAUGUCAAGAAACAGUGUAACACAUUCAACAGUGUCGAGUAAUACAGGUCAAUCAAAUAGAUCUAAUGUUUUUCACACUCUUUUAAGUCAGAAGUAUAAUGCAAACUAAAACUACAUACUGAUCACACACUCUAUAUUAAGGGGUAUAAUAUGAUCUACAGCAAUAUCAUAAUUCAACUACUUUGAUUACAGAUAUAAGGUAACAUAUGAUAACAGAAUAAUCUCACAAUACUUUUUUCAGAGAGUCAUGGCCUUAUUCGUCUAAUUAGAAGAGAACAGAGCAUACCAGAGAGGUUUUCUGCCCCAUCUCAUCAGGAGGAAACAAAACAGGGAGCCAAGGCCGUCACGUAGGCGCCGUAAGAGAGAAAGAAUGUGAAUGUUUAGGUUUUUACGACUAGGUGGGGGCCAACAGAGGCUAUAAGAGUUUGAGUAACCCUCCACCAGUUUGAGAUUUGCUGUGACCCUCUGCAUGCAUGUCUCCCCAUCGGGAUGGUUUAUGCUCAUAAAGUGUUGAAUAGUAUGUAAUAAAGUAAUUGUUGAUUGAGCAUUUAUACAUUGUGUAUUGUUCUUCCUUCAGCCCAAAGAUCGAAAGAAUUGGGAGGAUUUAACAAUUGUAAUUUUUGUAUUAUAGUUUUUCAACAGUACUUGUUUUAUUUUGUUUACUGGUUUGCGUGCAUUAUUUUACAUUUAAAAAAAAAUAAAAAUUAAAAAAUACAUAACUAUACCACCAUGGCAGACCCGAUGGCAUUUUCAUGCUUCGCAGCGAUACUGGCCCGUAUUUACUUGGUAUCGAUUUGAUACCAAAAUAAGAAGUAUCGCACACCACUAGCAGCUACUAGAUGAGAGCCCAGUGUUAGGGGGCGGGGCUUGUUUUCAACCAGCUUUUAUAACAUAUGAACUGCAUAUUCAUAACCUCUGUAUUUAUUUUAAUUCUUUGUGGCAGCUUUUCACAUUAUAUCAAACUCUUACAAGUCUUGAAAAGAAGCUGUUGGACACAAAGACAUCAACCAAGGAUUUUGGUUACAGUGGUAUACUAUAAUAUACCACACUAUAUUAGUAAUUGUCAGUAACAUUUAUAUUAAUCAGGCUGAACUUUAAUCAUACUUUAGAUCAACCCGUUUUACUUGCUGUUUCCUUUGUGCUUUGGUUUCCUGUCUUCUGUUAUUAGACUUGAGAUAUGACUGCUCUGUGCUGUUGCUGAUGACUCCAGUUAAUUCUACAAGAUAUGCUGUGUAAAUAAACAAACAACAACAGUUUGGUCUGCAUUUAUUCAAAGAUUAUAUCCCACAGACUUAGUUUAGAGGGUCCACAUUGUCUACACUGUAUAUAGUGAAGUCUGCAAGUUUGAACAGUGGAAUUUGUUUUGUUUUGAACAAAUUAUUCUGCAGAUCAUCAGAAUGAAAGUUGUUGUAUCAUAGGAAAGAAAGUUAUUGGCCAUGUUUGCAUAGCCCUUUUUUAAAAUAUGCUUUUGUGUUGUUAAUUAUUCUUUUUGAAUCAUAUUUGCAAAACAGUGUUAUAUUAAUAUAAUUUACUAAAAGUUUUUUUUUUUAAUUUAGCAGAACUUGGCAUGUUUGUUAGUGGAUGAAUAAUCAGUAUGCACAGUCAGAAACAUCAAGUUAUUGUUAGAACUGUAUACUUGAAAGAAUAAGUUGUCUUAAUAUAGUCAUCUUAAGUAAGCUUUACUCUGUUUUUUUGAGGCAACAAGUUUUAUUCGUUUUUUUUAGUUCUGGGAACUAAUUAGAUUUUAUAGUAUGGAUUUAGUCUCUCUGUCUCCCUCUGUCCUGCAUCACAAUUUCCCACAUUCCCCACUGUGUGUAGUAAAAUGGUUCCAUUCAGUUUAAUGAUGAUUAAUAAAUAGGCGUAGCAGCUCUGAGCUUGACUCACUGAGGAGCAGAGAGACACAC
Molecule: long non-coding RNA, 2915 nt
Filed under: Oreochromis niloticus (Nile tilapia)
Lineage: Eukaryota; Metazoa; Chordata; Actinopteri; Cichliformes; Cichlidae
Description: lncRNA (ENSONIG00000041790.1)
Source: RNAcentral